RNAcentral lists this ribosomal RNA (468 nucleotides) under uncultured bacterium. RNAcentral's name for it is "partial 16S ribosomal RNA". It matches the Rfam family "Bacterial small subunit ribosomal RNA", at positions 28 to 507 of the family's 1533-position model. The record is from RNAcentral.
GACGAACGCUGGCGGCGUGCUUAACACAUGCAAGUCGAACGGAAAGGCCCUGCUUUUGUGGGGUGCUCGAGUGGCGAACGGGUGAGUAACACGUGAGUAACCUGCCCUUGUCUUUGGGAUAACUUCAGGAAACUGGGGCUAAUACCGGAUAGGAGCUCCUGCUGCAUGUUGGGGGUUGGAAAGUUUCGGCGGUUGGGGAUGGACUCGCGGCUUAUCAGCUUGUUGGUGGGGUAGUGGCUUACCAAGGCUUUGACGGGUAGCCGGCGUGAGAGGGUGACCGGCCACAUUGCGCCUGAGAUACGGCCCAGACGCGUACGGGAGGCAGCAGUGGGGAGUAUUGCACAAUGGGCGGAAGCCUGAUGCAGCAACGCCGCGUGCGGGAUGACGGCCUUCGGGUUGUAAACCGCUUUCGCCUGUGACGAAGCGUGAGUGACGGUAAUGGGUAAAGAAGCACCGGCUAACUACGUG